CUUAAGAAAUCGUAAGAUAAAUUUGCCAAACGAGGGCUCAAGGUGCGUGUUGUUUACUUGUAUUAGUCUAUUUCAAUACAUAAUGUUAUCUUGCUUUAUAUAGGGCUGAGAUAUUGAAAUUCUUUAUGUAGAAUUGAGGACGUCGGAACAAGUGGAAGUGGUGUUAAUUCAUGAAGACAUGUAUGGUUCUUUUUUUAUCAUGGAAGACUCUUAAUUUGGUACUUUUCUACCUUCAAUAUUCUAUGUAUUGUUUGAGUCUAUUGGUUGAAUUGUGCUCUUUGAAAAAUAU
Molecule: long non-coding RNA, 289 nt
Filed under: Setaria italica (foxtail millet)
Lineage: Eukaryota; Viridiplantae; Streptophyta; Magnoliopsida; Poales; Poaceae
Description: long non-coding RNA (SITA_LNC003104)
Source: RNAcentral